UUUCCGUAGGUGAACCUGCGGAAGGAUCAUUACCGAGUGAGGGUCUCUCAGGCUCGACCUCCCACCCUGUGUUUUUGUGACCUUGUUGCUUUGGCGGGCCCGCUUCGAUGCGAGGCCGCCGGAAGCUGACCGCUUUGGGCCCGUGCCCCUCAGUAGCCCCCUUACAUUCUUAAUAAACCUGUCGUCUGAGAUAAUGGCUAUAAUGAAAAAAAACUUUCAACAACGGAUCUCUUGGUUCCG
RNAcentral lists this unclassified non-coding RNA (240 nucleotides) under plant metagenome. RNAcentral describes it as "partial contains small subunit ribosomal RNA, internal transcribed spacer 1, and 5.8S ribosomal RNA". The record is from RNAcentral.